CCUACGGGGGGCAGCAGUGGGGAAUAUUGCACAAUGGGCGCAAGCCUGAUGCAGCCAUGCCGCGUGUGUGAAGAAGGCCUUCGGGUUGUAAAGCACUUUCAGUUGUGAGGAAAGGGAUGUAGUUAAUAACUGCAUUCUGUGACGUUAGCAGCAGAAGAAGCACCGGCUAACUCCGUGCCAGCAGCCGCGGUAAUACGGAGGGUGCGAGCGUUAAUCGGAAUUACUGGGCGUAAAGCGUGCGUAGGCGGUUACUUAAGUCAGAUGUGAAAUCCCGGGGCUCAACCUCGGAACUGCAUUUGAAACUGGGUGACUAGAGUUUUGUAGAGGGUGGUGGAAUUUCCAGUGUAGCGGUGAAAUGCGUAGAGAUUGGAAGGAACAUCAGUGGCGAAGGCGGCCACCUGGACAAAAACUGACGCUGAGGCACGAAAGCGUGGGGAGCAAACAGGAUUAGAUACCUGGUAGUCCACGCCGUAAACGAUGUCAACUAGCCGUCUGUAUCCUUGAGAUGUGGGUGGCGCAGCUAACGCGCUAAGUUGACCGCCUGGGGAGUACGGCCGCAAGGUUAAAACUCAAAUGAAUUGACGGGGGCCCGCACAAGCGGUGGAGCAUAUGGUUUAAUUCGAUGCAACGCGAAGAACCUUACCAUCCCUUGACAUCCAGAGAAUUUACUAGAGAUAGUUUAGUGCCUUCGGGAACUCUGUGACAGGUGCUGCAUGGCUGUCGUCAGCUCGUGUUGUGAAAUGUUGGGUUAAGUCCCGCAACGAGCGCAACCCCUAUCCUUAUUUGCCAGCGCGUAAUGGCGGGAACUCUAAGGAGACUGCCGGUGAUAAACCGGAGGAAGGUGGGGACGACGUCAAGUCAUCAUGGCCCUCACGGGAUGGGCUACACACGUGCUACAAUGGCAUAUACAGAGUGCUGCAAUACCGCGAGGUGGAGCGAAUCACACAAAGUAUGUCGUAGUCCGGAUCGGAGUCUGCAACUCGACUCCGUGAAGUCGGAAUCGCUAGUAAUCGUAGAUCAGAAUGCUACGGUGAAUACGUUCCUGGGCCUUGUACACACCGCCCGUC
This 1067-nucleotide ribosomal RNA is filed under the name uncultured bacterium. Its description in RNAcentral is "bacterial SSU rRNA". It matches the Rfam family "Bacterial small subunit ribosomal RNA", at positions 338 to 1398 of the family's 1533-position model. The record is from RNAcentral.